Molecule: ribosomal RNA, 311 nt
Filed under: uncultured bacterium
Lineage: Bacteria
Description: bacterial SSU rRNA
Rfam family: Bacterial small subunit ribosomal RNA
Source: RNAcentral
GACGAACGCUGGCGGCGUGCUUAACACAUGCAAGUCGAGCGAAGUUAUUCCUUCGGGAAUAACUUAGCGGCGGACGGGUGAGUAACACGUGGGUAACCUGCCUCAUAGAGGGGGAUAGCCUUCCGAAAGGAAGAUUAAUACCCCAUAACAUAGCAUUAUCGCAUGAUAAAGUUAUUAAAGGAGUAAUCCGCUAUGAGAUGGACCCGCGGCGCAUUAGCUAGUUGGUGAGGUAACGGCUCACCAAGGCUACGAUGCGUAGCCGACCUGAGAGGGUGAUCGGCCACAUUGGAACUGAGAUACGGUCCAAACUC